AGUUCAUGGACCGAUCGCGGUGGGUCGAACCAAGAUCUGGAGUUUUUUUCGAGGGAUAUUGAUGAGGUCACCUCGCAUUUAAUGAGUCGAAAUGAUUCAGACAUUCCAAUCCAAUCCAAUCUCACGUUAUCGUGAGGCGCGGACUCGCGUGAAGCUGUUGGUUGGAAGUUUUUCAUUGCUCAACGUUAAUGGAGAUGAUGAUGAUGAUGCACGAAACAAACGCUCACUCCAAUUAAUUCUCUAGUUUCUACUCACUUUCCAUAUCAGAUUAUCAAUAGGUCUAGUUGGUGAUCCAACUAAUCUUGGUAACUUGUUUGAGAUGUUAAUGGCUGGAGUGAUUAAAAGCUGCUUUUAAACGUUUAAUCUGGAAGAGUUGAGUAGAGAAGAAGAUUCAGUUCGUCAUGGCUAUUCAUGGAUGAGAAUUGAGAGGCAAGAGGAUCGCUCUUGAGUUCAGGUUCGUUCUUGUUGUGUUUCUAGAUCUCUUUUUCUCGCUGUUGCAUCCCCGCGCCAAUGACUAGUUGAUCUCACUGUCUGGUUUUGAUGUGUUUUAGAACAGGCAUUCUUUAUAUUUGAGUAGUUCUCCCUCCAUUUGAACUAUGGAGCUCAUUAGUACGUAACCAUUCUCUUCAUAAUUUUUGGAACAAAGCUCUUACAAUUGAUGAGAAGAAGAAGAUACCACUGGCAUUGAAUCAACCAUAGCCACUACAGUGAAACGAGAAUCUCGAAGAUUUAUAUACAGAAGUCAAUAAGGAUUGGAGAAGGAUGAAUUUUUGUUUUUUUUUUUUUUUUUUUUUUUUUUUUCUGAUUAACACUUUUAGGUUAUUUAUUUAUUUAUUUGCUUAAUAGUGAAUUUUACUGCAUAAGAAACACAACAACCUGCUAUGCAGGAAUAAUACACAUAUAUACUCACUAGGUGAAACCACAAGACUCGAUAUGUGGAUCUAGCAGCUCUUCUCUUACCAACUGAUCUAACAAUACUUGAGCAGGCUGAUAUAUCCAGCUAAUGGAGUAAGAUCCAUGUUCCUGAAGGUACAGAAAGAUCUUGCACAUUUAGCGAGUCAUGCUUCCAUGGAAGUAAGACUCAAAUCUCUCAGUAACGGAGGCCCCUUCACUGCCUACAAUCAAAUGGGGUUAAUCUAAAGAAGGCAAGAUUUUGAGAAAAAAUAAAUAAAUAACAGCGUUUUGGCUCUCUUUGAUGGAACUUGUGACAUCUAGGCAUUCUGUUUUGGCUCAGAAAGUCACCCUGUGAAUUGUACUCUGAAGUCCCUCCCGCAACAGCUGACACAGAUUUGCUUAAUGAGCUUCCGUCGAAGUUAAGCUUUCAGCAUAAUCAUGUAGAGGUUGGGGGAGAACCAAAUUUUAUCUAUUUGUUGCACAGUCUGCUCAGGAUCUUGGCAAAACCUAUCACAUCGCAUGGUCAUUGGUGCUCAGUAAAUCAGUAUCCCCUUCUUUGAAUUUUCUCUCAAUCCAAAGAAGAAGAGGAAGAAGAAAAAGACCAACUUGUUAUUGGAUUGUUUUUGCAUCUCUGCUAAAUUGAAAUUUCAUUUCAAUGGAGAAGGGGUUCUUUGCAAUUAGCUUGCUUUUGCUUACAUGUGCUCAGAGUAUCCGUUCAGAGGAGCGGCUUCUAGUAAACAUGACCCUGGUUAAAAAUGCAGCAGUUCAAGGGGCAGUGUGCUUGGAUGGAAGCUUGCCUGCCUAUCAUCUUCACCCAGGGUUUGGAUCUGGAGCACAUAACUGGCUUUUACAGUUUGAGGGAGGUGGGUGGUGUAAUGAUGUAGCGUCAUGCUUAGAGAGAGCGAAAACUCGACGAGGAUCUACAAGGUUCAUGAAUAAAUGGGAGGUAUUCUCGGGAAUCCUCAGCAACAACAUGUCACUAAAUCCUGAUUUCUACAAUUGGAAUCGGGUGAAGCUUCGGUACUGUGAUGGAGCUUCCUUUGCUGGUGAUGGGAAGUUUGACAAUGGAACAAAUUCACUUUACUUUAGAGGACAAAGGAUUUGGAAGGCCAUCAUUCUUGAUCUUCUCUCUCGAGGCUUGAACCAAGCAGAUAAGGCUUUGCUAUCAGGUUGCUCUGCAGGGGGUCUAGCAACCUUUCUGCACUGUGACAACUUCACCCAAUUCCUACCUAAGACUGCCAGUGUUAAAUGCUUAAGUGACGGUGGAUUUUUCCUUGAUGCAAAAGAUAUAAGUUUGAACCACACUAUAAGGUCCUUCUUUGAAAACCUUGUUGUACUUCAGGGUGUGGAAAAGAAUCUGGACAGAAACUGCACGAGCUCUCGCUAUUAUCCAAAUCUAUGUUUCUUCCCUCAAUAUGCAUUGACAUACAUAACAACACCAUUCUUUAUCUUAAAUUCUGCAUAUGAUGUAUAUCAAUUUCAUCACAUACUGGUGCCACCUUCUGCUGAUUUACGGGGACAUUGGAAUCGAUGCAAGCUUAAUCCAUCUUCAUGUACUCCAAGCCAGAUAACCAUCUUACAAGGUUUCAGAUAUGAAAUGCUUGAAGCUUUGAAAUUCUUCUUUGAAUAUUCAAGAGAAGGUGGAUUAUUCAUAAACUCAUGUUUUUCUCAUUGCCAAAGUGAAUCACAAGACACAUGGCUUGCAGCCGACUCUCCUAGAGUGCACAAUAAGACAAUUUCAGAAGCAGUUGGGGACUGGUAUUUUGAGAGGAACGUCACAAAAGAGAUUGACUGCCCCUACCCUUGUGAUACUACUUGCCACAACAUUAUACCACAGGUUUCAGAGGUGGAAGUGGAUACGGUCGGCAUUCUAUUCAUUCAAAGAUGUUGAGGAUCUAACCAGAUUGAAGUUCAUAGCUCUGCAUUGUUAGAUUUUUGGUGAAAGCAGAAGUAUCCAUUCAGUUUGUCUUAUAAAAGGUGAAAUUACCAAGGCAAUCCAUCAAUUCAGCACUGCAGACAGAAUGCAAUCCACUUCCUUAACACAUGCUCAAAGCUGGAAAGAGCUAAUUUAAGAUUUCCAUUAGCACCAACUCAACUUGGAAUCUCGGAUACAUAUGCUGUACCUGAGCAUGGAGGAAGAAGAACUGAUGGAUGGCUGCUCUGAUGAAGCGUCCAAGCAACACAGCCUGCAACCCUCAUCUCUCAACUUAGCAAAGUUUGGCCAGUAUUGUUAGCAAUGCUGCUUGAAUCUAUACUCAGGUUCUAUUGGAAAGAUGUGCAGUGAUUUCUUCUAUUCACUUGGUCACUUUUCUCUUCUUCCACAACUGCUUCAAUAUAGAAUAUUACUUCCUCAACACCUUAUUCUCGGCAGAUUGUAUUGCAACAGUUCCUCCCUUCACAGCUGCAAUGGGGAGUCUACUUCUCUGCACGAUAGAGCAAAACAAAUUGUGAUUACCUGUAAUGUGGAUAACUGGGCAUGAAAAUCAAUAGGAUAUUGCCUACAUAUGAUUAUAUUGUCAUUAUAUCAUACAAUUAAAUGCAAAACAAAUUUGUUGAAUAAAUACAAAAAAAGUUGAAGAUAUCAA
RNA transcript from Macadamia integrifolia, 3479 nucleotides. It is a transcript of the gene named pectin acetylesterase 9, with no coding region annotated. Lineage: Eukaryota; Viridiplantae; Streptophyta; Magnoliopsida; Proteales; Proteaceae. The transcript has 16 exons. The record is from RefSeq and is a predicted model, not a curated record.